GACGAACGCUGGCGGCGUGCUUAACACAUGCAAGUCGAGCGGUAAGGCCCUUCGGGGUACACGAGCGGCGAACGGGUGAGUAACACGUGGGUGACCUGCCCCCUACUCUGGGAUAAGCCUGGGAAACUGGGUCUAAUACCGGAUAUGACCUGCGAUUGCAUGAUUGUGGGUGGAAAGUUUUUCGGUGGGGGAUGGGCCCGCGGCCUAUCAGCUUGUUGGUGGGGUGAUGGCCUACCAAGGCGACGACGGGUAGCCGGCCUGAGAGGGCGACCGGCCACACUGGGACUGAGACACGGCCCAGACUCCUACGGGAGGCAGCAGUGGGGAAUAUUGCGCAAUGGGCGGAAGCCUGACGCAGCGACGCCGCGUGGGGGAUGACGGCCUUCGGGUUGUAAACCUCUUUCGGCCCCGACGAAGCGGAAGUGACGGUAGGGGUAGAAGAAGCACCGGCCAACUACGUGC
This 462-nucleotide ribosomal RNA is filed under the name uncultured Pseudonocardiaceae bacterium. RNAcentral's name for it is "bacterial SSU rRNA". It matches the Rfam family "Bacterial small subunit ribosomal RNA", at positions 28 to 508 of the family's 1533-position model. Lineage: Bacteria; Bacillati; Actinomycetota; Actinomycetes; Pseudonocardiales; Pseudonocardiaceae. The record is from RNAcentral.